Molecule: ribosomal RNA, 1008 nt
Filed under: Triticum aestivum (bread wheat)
Lineage: Eukaryota; Viridiplantae; Streptophyta; Magnoliopsida; Poales; Poaceae
Description: partial small subunit ribosomal RNA
Source: RNAcentral
AUGGCAGACUUCUCCUCAGCCCACCACCACUCUCUCCUCAAGAUGCCUGAGGUCUUCACCACCAAUGACACCUCCACCCCGAACAUCUCGAGCUUCUUGCUUUACAACCAAACCAGCCAUGGCCAGUCUCCAGCACCAGCAAAUGCAUGUGCGGCCAUGGUGGAGGACGCCUCGCGCGAGAGCUCCUCUGCAGUUCUCGACAAUGCCUCUCUACAGGCCAGUGCAUCUGUGGACAGGAAGAGGAAAGCCACAGAUGACAGCACCACACUUAGCUCUGCUCACUCCAAGGACUGCAAGGAUGGCAAGAGUAGGAGGAAGAGGGAGAAGAGCAGCACCGAGCAGGACCAGGAGGAGGCGCCCAAGGGAUACAUCCAUGUGAGGGCAAGGAGAGGGCAGGCAACAGAUAGCCACAGCCUUGCAGAGAGGGUGAGGAGGGAGAGGAUCAGUGAGAGGAUGAGGUUGCUGCAAACACUGGUCCCUGGCUGUGACAAGGUCACUGGAAAGGCACUCGUUUUGGAUGAGAUCAUCAAUUAUGUGCAGUCCCUGCAGAAUCAAGUCGAGUUCCUGUCCAUGAGGAUUGCUUCCAUGAGCCCAGUGUUGUAUGGAUUUGGACUGGACAGUGACGGCCUCCAUGACCAGGCACAAAAGAUUGGAGGCAUGUUCCAGCAGGAAGCCCUUGCAGUGCCUGCCCCAGCUCUGAACCAAGCUAGCCCAGCUGCAUCUCAAGCCAUGAUGGACACCACAUCCUACUCACUGCAAGGCCAGGGGGGCAUCUCUUUCUCUCAGUCCCAGUCUCAGGUUGGCAUGCAUGCCCUUCAAUUCCUCUCACUUGCUAGACCAUAUGUGCAAGCAAAGCCCCAAAUUAGUAAUGCAUGGCGUCCGUUUUACCCCAACUUCUGUGCAUCCUUUUUUCAGGACAGUGGCAGUUACCUGAUGCAAUCAGUGGGAGAGCAAAGACAGGAACUGCUCAAUCAAUUGGUGUUCAGCAACAUGUGCUCCUUCCAGUAG